ACUCAAAGGAAUUGACGGGGGCCCGCACAAGCAGCGGAGCGUGUGGUUUAAUUCGAUGCUACACGAAGAACCUUACCAGGGUUUGACAUGUAAGUGGUAGGGAAGCGAAAGUGGACCGACCCUUCGGGGAGCUUACACAGGUGUUGCAUGGCUGUCGUCAGCUCGUGUCGUGAGAUGUUCGGUUAAGUCCGCUAACGAGCGCAACCCUCUCUGCGUGUUACACGAGUCACGCGGGACUGCCAGUCUUAAGCUGGAGGAAGGUGGGGAUGACGUCAAGUCAGCAUGACCUUUAUGUCCUGGGCUACACACACGCUACAAUGGCCGGUACAGCAGGUAGCGAAGCCGCGAGGCGGAGCCAAUCCAGAAAGCCGGUCUCAGUUCAGAUUGCAGGCUGCAACCCGCCUGCAUGAAGACGGAGUUGCUAGUAACCGCAGGUCAGCUAUACUGCGGUGAAUACGUUCCCGGGCCUUGUACACACCGCCCGU
RNAcentral lists this ribosomal RNA (485 nucleotides) under uncultured bacterium. RNAcentral describes it as "bacterial SSU rRNA". It matches the Rfam family "Bacterial small subunit ribosomal RNA", at positions 899 to 1397 of the family's 1533-position model. The record is from RNAcentral.